This 765-nucleotide ribosomal RNA is filed under the name uncultured Streptococcus sp. RNAcentral describes it as "bacterial SSU rRNA". It matches the Rfam family "Bacterial small subunit ribosomal RNA", at positions 28 to 776 of the family's 1533-position model. Lineage: Bacteria; Bacillati; Bacillota; Bacilli; Lactobacillales; Streptococcaceae. The record is from RNAcentral.
GAUGAACGCCGGCGGCGUGCCUAAUACAUGCAAGUAGAACGCUGAAGCUUGGUGCUUGCACCGAGCGGAUGAGUUGCGAACGGGUGAGUAACGCGUAGGUAACCUGCCUCUUAGCGGGGGAUAACUAUUGGAAACGAUAGCUAAUACCGCAUAAAAGUCGAUAUCGCAUGAUAUUGAUUUGAAAGGUGCAAAUGCAUCACUAAGAGAUGGACCUGCGUUGUAUUAGCUAGUUGGUGAGGUAACGGCUCACCAAGGCGACGAUACAUAGCCGACCUGAGAGGGUGAUCGGCCACACUGGGACUGAGACACGGCCCAGACUCCUACGGGGGGCAGCAGUAGGGAAUCUUCGGCAAUGGGGGCAACCCUGACCGAGCAACGCCGCGUGAGUGAAGAAGGUUUUCGGGUCGUAAAGCUCUGUUGUAAGAGAAGAACGAGUGUGAGAGUGGAAAGUUCACACUGUGACGGUAACUUACCAGAAAGGGACGGCUAACUACGUGCCAGCAGCCGCGGUAAUACGUAGGUCCCGAGCGUUAUCCGGAUUUAUUGGGCGUAAAGCGAGCGCAGGCGGUUAGAUAAGUCUGAAGUUAAAGGCUGUGGCUUAACCAUAGUACGCUUUGGAAACUGUUUAACUUGAGUGCAGAAGGGGAGAGUGGAAUUCCAUGUGUAGCGGUGAAAUGCGUAGAUAUAUGGAGGAACACCGGUGGCGAAAGCGGCUCUCUGGUCUGUAACUGACGCUGAGGCUCGAAAGCGUGGGGAGCAAACAGG